RNAcentral lists this ribosomal RNA (440 nucleotides) under uncultured bacterium. RNAcentral's name for it is "partial 16S ribosomal RNA". It matches the Rfam family "Bacterial small subunit ribosomal RNA", at positions 338 to 795 of the family's 1533-position model. The record is from RNAcentral.
CCUACGGGCGGCUGCAGUGGGGAAUAUUGGACAAUGGGCGCAAGCCUGAUCCAGCCAUGCCGCGUGAGUGAUGAAGGCCUUAGGGUUGUAAAGCUCUUUCACCCACGACGAUAAUGACGGUAGUGGGAGAAGAAGCCCCGGCUAACUUCGUGCCAGCAGCCGCGGUAAUACGAAGGGGGCUAGCGUUGUGCGGAGUUACUGGGCGUAAAGCGUACGUAGGCGGACCGUUAAGUCGGAGGUGAAAUCCUGGGCCUCCACCCCCGAGCUGCCUUCGAUACUGGCGGUCUCGAGUCCGGGAGAGGUGAGUGGACCUGCCAGUGUAGAGGUGAAAUUCGUAGAUAUUGGCAAGAACACCAGUGGCGAAGGCGGCUCACUGGCCCGGUACUGACGCUGAGGUACGAAAGCGUGGGUAGCAAACAGGAUUAGAUACCCCGGUAGUC